This 300-nucleotide long non-coding RNA is filed under the name Homo sapiens (human). RNAcentral's name for it is "HSALNT0374576". Lineage: Eukaryota; Metazoa; Chordata; Mammalia; Primates; Hominidae. The record is from RNAcentral.
ACUACUUUUGCCUCUGCACGUCUGUUCUGAUUUCUUUCUUCAUGUGGGAUGCCUCUCUAUCCUUCUCCUGCUUUUAAUAUGGAGCUUCAGUCUCUAAGCUAAAAGGCCAAGUCCAGAUUCACCUGCCAAUGAAGCUCUUUAAAUUAUCUCUUCUUUCUCAGGACUCACUGGCUAUCAGACAUUACUUUAGGUGAAGACUUUCCAGUCUGACUUCCCUCACCUGAGCAAAAAGAAGCAUUGGAGAAGACACUUGAUGUCACAUUAAUGAAAGGGAAUAAUGGAUUAAGGAAAGCUUGGUAG